RNAcentral lists this ribosomal RNA (218 nucleotides) under uncultured bacterium. Its description in RNAcentral is "partial 16S ribosomal RNA". It matches the Rfam family "Bacterial small subunit ribosomal RNA", at positions 29 to 274 of the family's 1533-position model. The record is from RNAcentral.
AACGAACGCUGGCGGCAGGCCUAACACAUGCAAGUCGAACGCCCUAGCAAUAGGGAGUGGCAGACGGGUGAGUAACGCGUGGGAACCUUCCUGUUGGUGCGGAAUAACUCGCCGAAAGGCGAGCUAAUACCGCAUAAGCCCGCAAGGGGAAAGAUUUAUCGCCAUCAGAUGGGCCCGCGUCGGAUUAGCUAGUUGGUGGGGUAACGGCUCACCAAGGC